This is a long non-coding RNA of Equus quagga, 4593 nucleotides long. RefSeq lists it as uncharacterized. NCBI's taxonomy places the organism in Eukaryota, Metazoa, Chordata, Mammalia, Perissodactyla, Equidae. The transcript has 4 exons. The record is from RefSeq and is a predicted model, not a curated record.
UUUAAAACUACCUCAGUUCUGCUCCUCUCUUCAUUUGUCCUCAACCAAAUGCUCCCCACGCUAUUUAUGGCUUCAGGCUGGUGAAUUUCUCCUAAGGUGUUCAUCUUCUUGAUUUAUAGUUGUUCUCUUCUUCAUCUUAUAUUAGUUGGUUUUGUUGUUGUUUUUGAGAUAGGCACAUUUUACGUUGCUCUAUCUUAGUCAUUUGUUUGUGUUACAAAGUUUUUUGGCUACACUAAAAUGACCUUAUCUACCUAAUUGAGUUAAAUUCCAAAUUUCUUAUUUUUACUUAUAUUUGAUAUACCUAAAGUCUUAGGAGUGAGUUUCAGUCCUUUCCCCUCUUACAUUUUCUAGAGAAUUACUGAAAACCUUCUUCGUUGGUGUUCUUCUUUCCACACCACUAGAAUCUAGCGUGUUCUCAUGUAGGAGAUAAAGAACUUGACGGGGAGUCAAAACUCUGGUGUUCCUGUCCUGACAUCACUGGGAAUUGAUAGUAGCAAGCAUUUCUAUUUCCACAUUUGCAAAGCACACAGACUGAGCUAGGCGAUCCCUGGAGUCCUUUCCACCUCUGUGAUUUCUCAUUUUCUGCAAGUGGAUUCUUGGCUCCAGCUCUCUCCUGAACCAAGUAUGGAGGGUGAGUGAGGAGGGGGUGGUUAAAAUGGUUUCCAGUGUAUUCCUUAGUAACCUCCCCUUACCAGGCAGUAUGUGCUCCCCUGUAAAUGCUAAUGGAAGGUUUGUCUUUAAUUAGAACGAGCUAUUUGCCUUAUAGUAUACUAUGGGACUGGAUGAGAUUCCCACCCCUGUGCUCCCGGAGGAUAACUCAGCUGGAAGAUUAUAACUACAUUCUUGCUAGGGCUUUUGCACUAAUCUCUUCUGUGAUUGCAAAAUAUGUAUGAAAUAAUAUAUAUUAAAGUUAAAGUGGGUGUACAGAAAGUUAGCAACUUAAAACACUUUCCCAAAAUGGAAAAACAUCUGUAUAAUGUGCAACCCAAACUCCACUCCUAGGGGGCCACGCGGCGGGCCUCUCUUUGGGGUCCACCAACCUGUCUGUGACUUCCGAUCCCUUUGACUCUCACGUGAACUCCUGAUUCCUGAGAUCCUCCUGGACACUCUUCCUUCUCAUUCCUGGCCGAAUAGCCUCUCACUGACUUUGUUCCAAGUCUCCAACCUCAGUUUGGUGAAGACUGAAGCUGAGAAUCAACUUCCCGUGCCUGGAUUGCCACGGCAUAUUUGCCAGCCCACUGCUUAGAAGCUGCCCCACCUUGGCUGUGACUGCGCUGCUCUGAAUCAUCAUACGUCUCUCGGAAGAGCGUCCACACAGGAAUGAACACCCAUGAUCUCUGAGAACAGUCCUGCGGGUAGGUCGAGCAGGCGGGCUAUGGCUGUGGUUGGAUUAUUUCUCAACUCAACUAACUCAGUGUUUAGUUCCAGGUAACAGCAAAGGGUCACAUCCCUCCGGGAGUUACAGCCACAAGUGGGAUUUCCUUAGAUCAUCAAACAAAGUGGGCCUGAUGGGCAGGUCAACUAGGGGGCGCUUUACCUUGGAGCCUCCCACUAGUGUGCUCUGGAUAGAAGGGAUGUGUCUGCAGAGAGCAGCCAAGAGGCACCUGCGACAAUCUGAGCCCCCAGACAGCUGUCUCCACGCAUGACCCUCCUAGCACCACAUGGCUGUCACCAUCUUAGUCAACGACCUGCAGGUGUCCCCUGAAAAUGCGGGAUGGAGUGUGCAGCUCUUCAGCCUGGAAUUCAAGACCCUCUAUGAAGUGGCUUCCAGUUCAUUUUGACCUUUUCAGCAUCCGUCAGAAACACAACCUAACAUGGGAGGGAACAGCUUCAGGUGAUGGUACCUCUUGACAAGGAUGGAAGGCUUCAGAGCCUGCUCUAAAGGAGGCUGUUAAGAAGGGCGUGGAAUCAUUGGGGCUGCACAGUAUGAGCUGCUUCCACCCCAGCCCCAGGGAUGCUGGUUGGUCCAAGACAGUGAAAUUAUAAGAAACCGAAGGCACAAGGAACACUGCUGUGUGGCCUCAUACAUGCAAGUAGUGCAGAGCACAAAUUUUGCACUUCAGUGCAAUGACCACCAAACCAGUGGAAGGCGCAGAGGACAUCCUACUCAUGGCCAAGAGAUCGAUGGCGCCAGAACUCAAGAAUGAGAAAGAACUGUGGACAGGGCAGCUUCAUGGGCGUGCAAUUUGUGCAGUGUGCUUAGAAUGGCCUUGUACUUGGUUGAAUGCUCUGCUGUGACCAUCUUGAAAGUUUGAACAGUUUUUUUUUUCUUUUUGGAGAGGAAGAUUGGACCUGAACUAAAAUCUAUUGCCAAUCUUCCUCUUUUUGCUUGAGGAAGCUUGUCCCUGAGCUAACAUCUAUGGCAAUCUUCCUCUAUUUUGUAUGUGGGUUGCCACCACAGCAUGGCAUGAUGAGCAGUGCAUAGGUCCAUGCCCAGGGUCUGAAUAGGUGAAUCCUGGGCUACAGAAGCAGAACACAUGAACUUAGCCACUACACCACUGGGCCAGCCCCUUGUUUUUUUUUAACAAGAUGCCCACAUUUUAAUUUUGCGCCAGGCUCUACAAAUUACGUAGCUCGUCCUGACUACAGAUACGUAUACAGAACCAAAUGGCCCACAAGAGAGAUCAAGGGGCAUCUGGCAGCAACAUUGGGCUGGAGGAACCACUGCUGGGAGUGGUAGGAUGGAAACGUACCACAGAAGAGCCAGGGAAUCCAUGUCAUGAGCACACACAGGACGUGCAUUCGACCCUGAGGAACCAAAGGGACAGAACAGAGACCAGGAUGAACAAAAGAAAAAGUCUUUCUGUUCUUAUCACCGUGAACCCACUGUAAUCCCUCGGCAGUGGUCACCUGAGGAGAAACAGGCCUCAGUUAAAAAGACAAAAGAGACUGGCUUGAGAGAGAAAAACGUUCAAAGAUAAGUAAAUUGGAAAGCAUUUACUCUCUCGGAUAUCCAGGAAGGCACCUUGAGAGAGAGUUUAUGCCAGACUUAGGAGCUCCCAAAUACAUUUUAACAAUUUAUUUGUAUUCCUUUGAAAAAGAAAUGGAAACCAAUUCAAGUAUUCACCCAGGAAACAUAACGUGGCUAUUGUGUUUGGUCUCAGAUAAACACAUAGAAACACAGGGGGCUCAUCACACACUCCUUCAGCAAAUCAAUACAUGUGUGUGGUUGCUCAAGAGAACCAGCAUACUUGGGAUUACAGCCCAUCACAGACUGUUGAUGCAAAAUAACCAAUAACUGUUCUAUAGGUAAGAGAUAAGGUGAGUUUUACUUGAGUCAGAGUAAGGAUUACAACCCAGGAAGGCAGUUUCUCAAAGGAAGAAAGUGUUCCGGAGAAGCCUGGUUUUCAGUACAGUUUUAUACCUUUUUAGAACAAAGAACACACAUUAAACACACCCAGGAUACAUACUCAUCAAAGUUGCAAAGAGGUAUUCAGUUGCAAAUUAGCAGGUCAACAUGACCCUGAUGUCCAGGAAAGGGAACUUAUCUUCAAGAGUAUUAAUACAGUGUAGCCAUAGGGCAUUACCAGUACUGGCUUGUAGGAGGGGAAGUAUGCAUUCUUAUCUGAAGAGAGUGCAUUCUUUACUCUAAUGGUUAAAGCGGAUGUACAAUGUAUGUUUGAUUGGCCAUAAGUCAGGUUUCUUUAGUUCAAGCCGAAUCAGUUUUGAACAAGAAUAGCUACCCUAUGUACCUCAAAAUGUGAAAUCUCUUGUCAAGACUCUCAGUGAACAUGGCUACACAAGUGGAUGAACUCUCGUAGUCAGAUUAGCAAGAUUCCAGAACCUCGGAAGUAGGCAGGAGUGAGAAUAGCCACACCAGAGGGAAAAACGAAAAAUAAGCAAACAGGCCCCAAACCUCUAUUUAUUCAUCAAAACCAGAAAGAGAUGAAGGAAACAUGGAGGAAAGAAAAUGCACAAACUAAUGUUAUCACAUCAUCAAGAGGGCUACCACUCAUGGCCAAGCUUCAUCGUGGGCUCUCGAGAUCCGCUUGUAAAAGAACUUCACAUGUAUUAACUUCUUUAAUAUUUGCAACACCUAUGAAGCAAUCAAUAUUAUCCAUAAUCUACAGACUGAGGAAGCAGAGGUACAUAGGAAUUAAGUAACUUGCCCCAAAUCACACAGCUAGUCAAUGAGGUUGAGUCCUCCAGCUUCGGGCCCAAAUCCUAUGCGAUUUUGGAAGCCCAAAUAUAGACGAUUACAAAGGCUUACCCGGCAGGCUUCAUGGGGGAAAGCUGCCCUCUCCACAUCAAACUCAUGCACAGCCAGAGCAGUCCAGGCGGAACAGAGCUGCAGUCUGGGACUCAGGUCCCUCUGGGUAGCCAUGCUCUCAUGCAUAACUGCACCCCUAACUCGGGUAUCUUCAUUUCUGGGUCUGUUUAUCUGGACCUUUGGCCAAGGUCUUCUUUGGGCCCCCCUGUGCCACUCCUAGCUCUCCCCCAACCCCCACUCAUCCCCUAGCCUCAGGGUUCAUAAAACUGCCCAAGCCUUUGUUUCAGGUUCUUCAUCAAUGAGAUGACUCUCCUGUCCGCACUUGACCCUUCGCCAGCAUGCCAUUCUACGGAGCGGUGGGGUGGGCGUGAGGAAAUGGAACA